CUUACACAUGCAGCCCGAACGGUAGACCAGCUUGCUGGGCCACGAGUGGCGCAGGGUGAGUACGCGUAUGCANCUACCUACGACAGGGGGAUAGCCCCGAGAAAUUGGGAUUAAUACCCCAUACAGUGCCCGAUUCGCAUGUUAUCGGCACAAAAGCCCCGACGGUCGUAGAUGGGCAUGCGUGGCAUUAGUUAGUUGGUGGGGUAACGGCCCACCAAGGCAUCGAUGCCUAAGGGGUCUGAGAAGAUAGUCCCCCACACUGGUACUGAGACACGGACCAGACUCCUACGGGAGGCAGCAGUGAGGAAUAUUGGUCAAUGGGUGAGAGCCUGAACCAGCCAUGCCGCGUGCAGGAAUGACUGCCCUAUGGGUUGUAAACUGCCUUUCCUGGGGAAGAACCGCCCGGACUCGUCCGGGCCUGACGGUACCCGGGAGAAUAAGCACCGGCUAACUCCGUGCCAGCAGACGCGGUAAUACGGAGGGUGCGAGCGUAAUCCGGAUUUAUUGGGUUUAAAGGGUGCGUA
Molecule: ribosomal RNA, 524 nt
Filed under: uncultured organism
Description: bacterial SSU rRNA
Rfam family: Bacterial small subunit ribosomal RNA
Source: RNAcentral